CUCUUUGACACUCGAGGCACAUCGACAUCCUUGCACUAUAGGAUGGAUCAAGGAAAUUGGAGGAAUUCAAGUGAAUGAGCACUGCAAAGUUCCUUUCUCUAUUAGUAAGUAUAUUAAUGAAACUUAUUGUGAUAUUGUUGACAUGGAUGCUUGCCAUAUUUUGUUAUGAAGACCUUGGCAGUUUGAUGUUGAUGUAAAGCACUCUGGUCAGAAAAAUACAUACCAACUGGAGAGGAAGGGAAAAUUUACUCUCUUGUACCAAUUGGAGAAAAGAAACCUACCAAAGCUUCUAAAGUGGAGGAAAGGGAUUUUCUCUCAAUUAACAAUAAGCCUUUUAAAUUUGCAGCUGAGUGCAAGGAGACUAAACAGAUGCAUCUUUUGGCGAUAAAGGGCGAGGAAGUAAAGAAAGAGGAGGAGCCAAGGCAAUAGCUAGUGGAGGUGAAAAGCCUAUUGGAGGAAUUUUAUAAUGUGAUUCUUGACGAAUUACACAAUGAGUUGCCACCCAUAAGGGAUAUACAACACCAUAUUAAUUUGGUGCCUGGUGCAAGCUUACCAAAUCUACCUCAUUACAGAUUAAGUCCUAAAGAAAGUGAGAUCCAAAGGGAGAAGGUAGAGGAGCUAUUGCAAAAGGGACACAUCCAAGCUAGCAUGAGUCCUUGUGCAGUGCUGGCAUUACUAACACUAAAGAAGGAUGGGAGUUAGAGGAUGUGCAUUAACAGCCAAGCUAUUAACAAAAUUACUAUUGAAUACAAAUUCCCAAUCCCUCAGUUGGAAGACAUGCUUGAUCAAUUGGAGGGAUCAGUCAUCUUCACCAAGAUUGAUCUAAGGAGUAUUCAUCCUGGAGACGAGUGGAAGACGACGUUCAAGACAAGGGACUGAUUGUAUGAAUGGUUAGUCAUGCCCCUUAGGCUAACCAAUGCACCAAGCACAUUCAUGAGGCUAAUGAACCAGGUACUUGGAACUUUCAUUGGUAAAUUUGUAGUAGAGUAUUUUGAUGAUAUUCUUAUCUUUACUAAGUCCCUUGAUGAGCAUAUGUGGUAUAUUAGAGAGGCACUUAAGGUGUUAAGGAAAAACAAGCUAUACGCUAAUUUGAAGAAGUGUAUUUUCAUGACUAGUAGCUUGUUAUUUUUGGGAUUUGUCGUGAGUAAGGAUGGGAUUAAAGUGGAUGGAGAGAAGGUAAGAGCUAUUAGAGAGUGGCCUACCCCUAAAAUGGUGAGUGAAGUGAGGAGUUUUCAUGGUCUUGCAACCUUUUAUAGGAGGUUUAUUAAGCAUUUUGGUAGCAUCGCUGCACCUAUUAUUGAAUGUUUGAAGAAGGAGAAUUUUGAAUGGGAUGAGGAGCAAGAAAAGAGUUGAAUGUGAUAGUUGAAUUUAUUUAUUUUGAAUCAGGUACGCUUUCUAAAUGUGUGAGAAUUUAUUUAUUCAAGAACCAUUAUUAGGGUGAUGGUUAAAUUUUAUAUUAUUUACAUUAUGUUUAUAAUUAUUAUGAUCUAUUAAGAAUUU
RNAcentral lists this unclassified non-coding RNA (1500 nucleotides) under Hevea brasiliensis (rubber tree). The record is from RNAcentral. Lineage: Eukaryota; Viridiplantae; Streptophyta; Magnoliopsida; Malpighiales; Euphorbiaceae.